CCCAGUGCCCUCUUGAAGAUGCCGAGAUUUGUCAAACCAUACCAAGUGCCCUUAUCUGGUGCCAGCCUGGCGGCAGGAACAAAAUUUACACUUAUCAGAAUGAGGUUUUCAUUCCUUCCCAGUCCACCCCUCACUGCCCCCACCCCGACGACAUGUUUUCCCCAACUGGUCAGAAGUUCUUGUCUUACUGUCACAUGGUGUUAAAUUUUAGAAAAAGGAGACAUUACCGCUUGACAGACUACAACAGCUGAACAGCAACAGCUGGGAGGACACAGUUGCAGGCGUAACAUUCGGUCCCGGAGAAGGCAGCAACAGAUGCUUUCUGCAUUAGCACUGUGCUCCAUUUCUUCAGUCCUAUGCCCUUCCCAAAAUUGGCACUGCAAGACAUGAUACCUUAAAGGCAUCUCCAAAUGAGCAGGUCAGCCUUCUCAUCGAGCCCAGAGGAGAGCUGGACUCUCAGCCCAGGAUGUUCACAAAGCAAAGCAUGAGCAACAUCGCAGGGCCUGCUGUCCUGGUGGGACUGAGAUGGAGAGCCUUACAAGAAGGAUGAAAAGCAACUCAUCAAUUUCCGCAUAAAGGCACAACUGUGCCCAGGCUAGUCAGUUCACAGACCUGCUAGAAGCCCGUGAUGCUGCCUGUAAGCUUCAACACAGAGUUUUCUACUGAUUGCAGCUGCAGGCCUUCUGAAGAAGGGGAUGAAAACAGCCACGCAUAUCGGAGGUAUGUCAGCAUCAUAACUUGAAACCUCAAGCUCUUCCUUUCCAUGACAACAAAGUUUGUGGAACUAAAUAGUCUUGCAGGGAAAUUCUAGUUUUUAUUUUUCUCUGAGGGCAUGCUGCCAAUCCUGCUCCCUAAACUCAAGUGAUUCAUCACCAUCCUAAACAGCCAAUCAUGGGCGGGUCAACCUGGAAUGGGCUGAAGUAGCAGGAGUUCAAUCUGCCCUCGUAAUACAUGUCACUCAGGGCUGGUGUCACCCUCUCUCCACAGAUGCCAUUUCCUGUUAACUUUGAUGGUCUUGACAUACAAGAAAAUGUGCCGGAUCAGUCACACACUCAGAAGAA
This 1061-nucleotide long non-coding RNA is filed under the name Homo sapiens (human). RNAcentral describes it as "HSALNT0356430". The record is from RNAcentral. Lineage: Eukaryota; Metazoa; Chordata; Mammalia; Primates; Hominidae.